Molecule: ribosomal RNA, 531 nt
Filed under: uncultured bacterium
Lineage: Bacteria
Description: bacterial SSU rRNA
Rfam family: Bacterial small subunit ribosomal RNA
Source: RNAcentral
GACGAACGCUGGCGGCGUGCCUAAUACAUGCAAGUCGAGCGCGGGAAGCAAGCUGAUCCCUUCGGGGUGACGCUUGUGGAACGAGCGGCGGACGGGUGAGUAACACGUGGGCAACCUGCCUGUAAGAUCGGAAUAACUCCGGGAAACCGGAGCUAAUGCCGGGUAAUACAUUUCUCCGCAUGGAGAGAUGUUAAAAGAUGGCUUCUCGCUAUCACUUACAGAUGGGCCCGCGGCGCAUUAGCUAGUUGGUGAGGUAACGGCUCACCAAGGCGACGAUGCGUAGCCGACCUGAGAGGGUGAUCGGCCACACUGGGACUGAGACACGGCCCAGACUCCUACGGGAGGCAGCAGUAGGGAAUCUUCCGCAAUGGACGAAAGUCUGACGGAGCAACGCCGCGUGAACGAUGAAGGUCUUCGGAUCGUAAAGUUCUGUUGUUAGGGAAGAACAAGUACCGUGCGAAUAGAACGGUACCUUGACGGUACCUAACGAGGAAGCCCCGGCUAACUACGUGCCAGCCGCCGCCGUAAGAC